Molecule: long non-coding RNA, 992 nt
Filed under: Anas platyrhynchos platyrhynchos (common mallard)
Lineage: Eukaryota; Metazoa; Chordata; Aves; Anseriformes; Anatidae
Description: lncRNA (ENSAPLG00000024629.1)
Source: RNAcentral
CUCCCCCCACCAGAGGCCCCGCCCCCUUUCCUCCUCCUUUGGCCACGCCCCCUCCCCCCUUGGCCCCGCCCCCUUCUCUCUCUCUUAUCGUUGCAGGUGGCGCCGGAUUGGACGUCGGCCUGGGGGGGGCGGGGCUUAAAGGGGGAGGGGGCGGGGCUUAGAGAACAAAGGGGGCGGAGCCUGAGAGGAGGGGGGCGGGGCUUGAAGGGAGGAGGGGGCGGGGCUUUGCCCUUAUAUGGAGGGGGGGGAGGGGGUAAUAAAGAGAGGGGGGAACAAAGAUGGCGGACGGAGUCACGUGACUGGGGCGGGGCCUGAAGGGAGGGGGAGGGGCUUAAAGGGGAGGGGGGAGGGGGGUCCAGUUUGGCCCAGUUUGCUCCCAGUUCCCUCCCAGUUCGUCCCAGUUUACUUCCAGUUCGUCCCAGUUCAGCCCAGUUGCCUCCCAGUUCACUCCCAGGCCUUCCCAGUAUGUCCCAGUUGCUCCCAGUUCAGCCCAGUUCCUCCCAGUUCACCCAUUUCCUUCCCAGUUCCCUCCCAGUUCAGCCCACCAGUUGCUCCCAGUUCACUCCCAGGCUCGCCCAGUUCCAGCCCAGUUCAGCCCAGUUGCCCACCAGGCCCUCCUGGUCACUCCCAGUUCAGCCCAGUUCACUCCCAGGCACUCCCAGUAUAGCCCAGUUGCAUCCCAGUUCAUUCCCAGUUGCUCCCAGGCUCUCCCAGUUUCCUCCCAGUUGCCCCAGUUCAUUCCCAGUACAUCCUAGUUCCCUCCUACUUCUCCACCAGUCCUCCCCAGUUUACCCCAGUUCAGCCCAGUUGCCUCCCAGUUCCACCAGUUUCUUCCCAGUAUAUCCCAGUUGGUUCCCAGUUGCUCCCAGUUCACCCCAAGUCUCCUGGUCGCCUCCCAGUACAUCCCAGUUCCAUCCCAGUUUGUUCCCAGUUCAGCCCAGUUCACCUCAGGCUGUCCUAGCCACCUCCCAGUACAUCCCAGUUCAUUCCCA